This 253-nucleotide ribosomal RNA is filed under the name uncultured bacterium. RNAcentral describes it as "partial 16S ribosomal RNA". It matches the Rfam family "Bacterial small subunit ribosomal RNA", at positions 524 to 776 of the family's 1533-position model. The record is from RNAcentral.
UACGUAGGGGGCAAGCGUUGUCCGGAUUUAUUGGGCGUAAAGAGCUCGUAGGCGGUUUGGUAAGUCUGGUGUGAAAUCUCGGGGCUUAACUCCGAAACUGCAUUCGAUACUGCCGUGCUUGAGGACUGGAGAGGAGACUGGAAUUUACGGUGUAGCGGUGAAAUGCGUAGAUAUCGUAAGGAAGACCAGUGGCGAAGGCGGGUCUCUGGACAGUUCCUGACGCUGAGGCACGAAGGCCAGGGGAGCAAACGGG